AGAGUUGAUCCUGGCUCAGGAUGAACGCUAGCUACAGGCUUAACACAUGCAAGUCGAGGGCAGCAUUGGGAUAGCUUGCUAUUCAGAUGGCGACCGGCGCACGGGUGAGUAACGCGUAUCCAACCUUCCUGCCAGUAGGGAACAGCCCGGCGAAAGUCGGAUUAAUGCCCUAUGUUCUUCAAUGCGGACAUCUAAGUUGAAGGAAAGAUUCAUCGCUGGCAGAUGGGGAUGCGUCCGAUUAGCUUGCCGGCGGGGUAACGGCCCACCGGGGCGACGAUCGGUAGGGGUUCUGAGAGGAAGGUCCCCCACAUUGGAACUGAGACACGGUCCAAACUCCUACGGGAGGCAGCAGUGAGGAAUAUUGGUCAAUGGUCGAGAGACUGAACCAGCCAAGUAGCCGUGCAGGACGACGGCCCUAUGGGUUGUAAACUGCUUUUAUGCGGGGAUAAAGUGAGGGACGUGUCCCUUUUUGUAGGUACCGCAUGAAUAAGGACCGGCUAAUUCCGUGCCAGCCGCAGC
RNAcentral lists this ribosomal RNA (519 nucleotides) under uncultured bacterium. RNAcentral describes it as "bacterial SSU rRNA". It matches the Rfam family "Bacterial small subunit ribosomal RNA", at positions 8 to 518 of the family's 1533-position model. The record is from RNAcentral.